This 406-nucleotide ribosomal RNA is filed under the name uncultured bacterium. RNAcentral describes it as "partial 16S ribosomal RNA". It matches the Rfam family "Bacterial small subunit ribosomal RNA", at positions 30 to 526 of the family's 1533-position model. The record is from RNAcentral.
AUUGAACGCUGGCGGCAGGCCUAACACAUGCAAGUCGAACGAGUGGCGGACGGGUGAGUAAUGUCUGGGAAACUGCCUGAUGGAGGGGGAUCACUACUGGAAACGGUAGCUAAUACCGCAUACCAUCGGAUGUGCCCAUAUGGGAUUAGCUAGUAGGUGGGGUAACGGCUCACCUAGGCGACGAUCCCUAGCUGGUCUGAGAGGAUGACCAGCCACACGGGAAUUGAGCCACGGUCCAGCAUCCUACGGGAGGCAGCAGUGGGGAAUAGUGCACAAUGGGCGCAAGCCGGAUGCAGCCAUGCCGGGUGUAUGAAGAAGGCCGUCGGGUUGUAAAGUACUUUCAGCGGGGAGGCGUUACCCGCAGAAGAAGCACCGGCUAACUCCGUGCCAGCAGCCGCGGUAAUUC